GAUGAACGCUGGCGGCGUGCUUAACACAUGCAAGUCGAACGAAGCGACUAUGAUUGAGAUUUCGGUUGAUUGAAUAGUUGACUUAGUGGCGGACGGGUGAGUAACGCGUGGGUAACCUGCCUCGUACAGGGGGAUAACAGUUAGAAAUGACUGCUAAUACCGCAUAACCCGCUAGGGUCGCAUGACCCAGACGGAAAAGAUUUAUCGGUACGAGAUGGACCCGCGUCUGAUUAGCUAGUUGGUGAGGUAACGGCCCACCAAGGCGACGAUCAGUAGCCGGCCUGAGAGGGUGAACGGCCACAUUGGGACUGAGACACGGCCCAAACUCCUACGGGAGGCAGCAGUGGGAAUAUUGCACAAUGGGGGAAACCCUGAUGCAGCAACGCCGCGUGAGUGAAGAAGUAUUUCGGUAUGUAAAGCUCUAUCAGCAGGGAAGAAAAUGACGGUACCUGACUAAGAAGCCCCGGCUAACUACGUG
RNAcentral lists this ribosomal RNA (478 nucleotides) under uncultured bacterium. RNAcentral's name for it is "bacterial SSU rRNA". It matches the Rfam family "Bacterial small subunit ribosomal RNA", at positions 28 to 507 of the family's 1533-position model. The record is from RNAcentral.